Molecule: non-coding RNA, 1042 nt
Organism: Chelonoidis abingdonii (Abingdon island giant tortoise)
Lineage: Eukaryota; Metazoa; Chordata; Testudines; Testudinidae
Source: RefSeq, a predicted model, not a curated record
AGAAGGAUCUUAACACCACCUGCAUGCUUAUCUAUGGACAAUGAAAGAAAAUUGCUGGUGCAAAAGAUACAAAUGGUAAACAUCAAGUCAUUCAGCAUGAAAAUCCUGUAAAAAGAGGUGCAUUUCUAGAGCCCAGUACUCUUUUCAUAAAUUGUUCUCCACUGCAAGGCAACUUAUGUAGGGUGUUUUUAAAAAACCAAAAAACCUACAGAAAAAUUAAGUUCUAUUGGACUUUUCCAUAAGUGUUGUGCAAAACUUGGAAGAAAAAAAAGGCUUCGUGUUGGACAAAGAUAUGGAGAAUUUGAGGAGGAAUGGACUUCCAUGCAACAAAUCUAUUUCAGACUUCGGGCAGGAAAAGCGAUCACAACCUUCUGAGGUUCCACCACCUCCUUCACACGCAUACAGGGUUUUAAGCUCAUGGAUACAUACUGUAAGCUGACCAUUCCUUCCCAAUCACUUGCGUGUCGUGACCACAGUGCUCUUUCUCCCCCACUCCACAGUGCCGUAUAAUGAGACACUGCAAAGACUUCAUGAUCUCUGUGUGGCCUUUACACUGCCUGUUCAGUAAAAACAGCAGGCCAAAUCAUCUGCUGGCAUACCUUCAUUGACUUCACUAGAGUUACACCUGCUAAUAGUAGGAGUGAAUUCGGCUCAGCAUUUCAGGUCUUUUGUGCCCAUGAGGAAGACCAAGAUUCACUACUAAAUGAGGAACCACUUGUGAUGGGAUCCCUGGGGUACAGCCUGGAACUGUGGGCCCCCUUAACUCUCCAACUUGGGCUUUAUCUCACAGUGCUUUGCCAGUGACAAGCAGCAAACCCUUCCAGGCGCUGUUAUAACUCAGUCACCAGCAUUCAGAGGCAUGCCCAGCUAAAUUGCAUGAAUGCUCUCCAAGCCACUCAUGAACUAUGCACAGGGAAACAAAUCUCCCAAGCCCCCAGCCUUGCACCCCAGAAAUAUACCAUCUUACAUUGCUCAAGACUGUUCCUUGAACAAUGCAAGCUCAUUAAUUAGCUUGCAACUUUGUCUAAGGAAAGUGGACAUG